Molecule: ribosomal RNA, 576 nt
Filed under: uncultured bacterium
Lineage: Bacteria
Description: bacterial SSU rRNA
Rfam family: Bacterial small subunit ribosomal RNA
Source: RNAcentral
ACGGGUGAGUAGUACAUCGGAACGUAUCCUGGAGUGGGGGAUAGCCCGGCGAAAGCCGGAUUAAUACCGCAUACGCUCUGAGGAGGAAAGCGGGGGACCUUCGGGCCUCGCGCUCAAGGGGCGGCCGAUGGCGGAUUAGGUAGUUGGUGGGGUAAAGGCCUACCAAGCCGACGAUCCGUAGCUGGUCUGAGAGGACGACCAGCCACACUGGGACUGAGACACGGCCCAGACUCCUACGGGAGGCAGCAGUGGGGAAUUUUGGACAAUGGGGGCAACCCUGAUCCAGCAAUGCCGCGUGUGUGAAGAAGGCCUUCGGGUUGUAAAGCACUUCUGUCCGGAAAGAAAUCAUCGGGGCCAAUACCCCUGGUGGAUGACGGUACCGGAAGAAUAAGCACCGGCUAACUACGUGCCAGCAGCCGCGGUAAUACGUAUGGUGCGAGCGUUAAUCGGAAUUACUGGGCGUAAAGCGUGCGCAGGCGGUGCUGUAAGACCGAUGUGAAAUCCCCGGGCUUAACCUGGGAACUGCAUUGGUGACUGCAACGCUGGAGUAUGGCAGAGGGGGGUGGAAUUCCACGU